Molecule: transfer RNA, 90 nt
Filed under: Chloroflexota bacterium
Lineage: Bacteria; Bacillati; Chloroflexota
Description: Chloroflexi bacterium (marine metagenome) tRNA-Ser
Rfam family: tRNA
About the family: Transfer RNA (tRNA) molecules are approximately 80 nucleotides in length. Their secondary structure includes four short double-helical elements and three loops (D, anti-codon, and T loops).
Source: RNAcentral
GGAGGGGUGGCAGAGUGGUUGAAUGCGCCAGUCUUGAAAACAAGUGUCGUCGUAAGGCGACCGCAGGUUCGAAUCCUGUCCCCUCCGCCA